CCAUGGUUCUGGACUUCCAUGCUUCCAUGGCAAGCCUUCACAUCUGUAAGGAGCAGAGUCAUCUCUUUACAGAGACAGAGCACACCAUACCUGCUGUAUGAAGCCAGGACCUGAUGCCUGGGAAGCCUCCCAGCUGCUCCAGGGAGCCAGCAAAGAGCUUUCAUCUGCUGCUGAGAGAGGAAGGAGAUGAGGAGAGAGAAAGGAUCCCACCAGGCUGUGCAACCAAGCUAAAAGAGAUGCAAGCAGCUGAUUCCAAACCUUCUCUAACCUCCCUGGAAGAACAUUGCCUUUCCUGGGAGGGCUUAUCAUGAGAUGCCCUCAUCCUGGUUUAAUCAGUUUUGAAUGUGGGAAAAGACAAUCAUGAUCUGAGCCAGGCAGUGUUUCCCUUGCAUGUGAAUGAUGUGAUACUGGAGCUUCAUUAACAUGCUCUACACUCUUAUCUUUAU
This is a long non-coding RNA of Pogoniulus pusillus (Red-fronted tinkerbird), 446 nucleotides long. RefSeq lists it as uncharacterized. The transcript has 3 exons. The record is from RefSeq and is a predicted model, not a curated record. NCBI's taxonomy places the organism in Eukaryota, Metazoa, Chordata, Aves, Piciformes, Lybiidae.